UCACCGCACUUCCAUCUUCGACGUCAAACCUUUUACCUCCCGCGGUAGUAGUCGAACUGGCUCCCGCGGCACGCGCCGGAGGACACGUUCGAGCCGCCAGAGGAGCGCGUCCUCUCGACCGGCCACGUCGCGGAGGUGCCGCUCCAGGUCAUGUAGUUCCUGCUCGAGCUCUCGUACUGCCGGAAGGAGGCGUCGGACCGGCUCAGCAGGCUGCCGGUGCUGCUGGUCCAGGCCCAGACCCACUUCGUCCACUCCCUCUAGCGGAUGCUGCGGCUCCUGACGUAGCUGCUGAUGCAGGCGCCGGUCGUCGGAAAGCUGUUUCUGCCGCCGCGGCAGUACCGCAGGGAGGCUGCGAAGCACGCAGACGAGCGGUGCGAUCCUAGUCCGCCACCAGCGGCAGUGGCCGCGUACCGCCGGGUCGAGGUUCUUGACUUCUGAGCGCGGUCCCUGCGGCCGCUCGCCGCAAGGUCCAUGCCCCACGAUGGCGGUUUCUGCCGCGAGCCCGCACGGUCGUCGGUGCGCAGACCGAGGCCGCAGAGGCCGGCGGACCUGGGCGCCGACGGGCGGGAGAAGUGGCUCCUCCGCGUCGACCACCCGUAGCUGCCCGGUUCCCUGCUCGAGCAGCCGACCGACUACCUCCUGCUGCGCUCCGAGGCCCACGAGCGGCAGCAGCCCAAGCCACCCGAGCCGUUCUGGUGCGACCGCUCCUACCACACGCCCUCGGGCGCUCACUUCCCGCGGCUGAAGGUCACGAGGGGCAACGAGUAGCAGAGCGUCUGCGAUUUGCAGUCCCGCGACAAGGACGUGUACGAGUCCCUUGACUGGGUCGCCGGGGCGAACCGACGGCCGCUGCUAUGGUACCUACAUUCGAACGUGCCCUACCUCUUGACCCUUUGCCGCGACGACCGGUCGUUCGAGUCCGCGAUGGACGUUCUGUUUUCCAUGUAGCACUAAGAGCUACUGUAUACCUGAAGCAGCCGUACCCUCUUGUAGUCUACACACAAAGGACUGUUACUUUUUUCCUUCGUCCUAAUAUCAUUGGUGAUCCUUGCCCCUACAGCGAUUAUGUACAACAACAGUAAGGGUUCUAGCCUAAAUGUUUUAGGUUGCGGAUAGACUCUAACGUAGUGCGCUCGAUAAGAAGUUCUCCUAGAAACCGAAUCAUCUACCUAACGGGUUGUUACUCAACCUCCUUCAAAGUUUACGGUAUGAGUUCUUUACACCUCCGAAUGGUAAUCGUUAUCAGUCGUAACCAUCGGAAGAGCGAUCGUUUGGUUUGUCUUGGUUUGUUCUCACCGUCUUCCAAAGACUAUUGAACCCGAGACUUGAACUUAAUUUAGGAUGUGAACUUCCCUGUUUCGUUCAGAAUAGAAACUCAAUGUUACUAGACGGUAUGGUAGACUUCCGAACGAAGAACAUAGAUUCAUAUAAAGAAGUUUUAAUACACUAGUUCUCCCCUGGAAACGACUCUUACACCUAUCGGCUUCCUAAAUAGUGGGGUUUUGUACCUGAAUCAUACCUCCUCCAACGACUUUCUAUGAAACUGCUCAAGCAUCGGUCUUCGUACCACGUAGGACACUUUUAACUAACCUCACCGUUCCACUCUUCAACAGCUCAAGUACUAUAUUACCAACUCCAGUAGUACAGGUUCAGUGAACUCCUCUUGAAGCGUAGUAUGAAGACACUUUUACCUUGGUGUGACCUAAGGGUACUGUUUUAUGCGGCGGAGAGUAAGGUCUCGUCGUCCGUGAGUCACGUCUCUUGUUUGCGAUCACAUCGAGUACAAGCGUGCAAAUCUUACAGUGGAAGGUACCUCCUUUAGGGUAAGAAGAAGCGUGUAAACUCCAACAAUUCUCACAACCUAUACGUUCCGUCGUCGACGAACUCAUUGUUCCUAGAUCUGACGUAGACAACAAAAAAGGUCGACUUAAUAGAUUCGGAGUCUUUAUGGUUAUAAAGGUUUAACGGCUCUAAGUAUCCGGUAGAUUUAAUGAACCUCUGUGAUCUAUAGUCUCUUUGUGAAUAAUUCUUCGAUGGUCCAUCACGGUUCUCGGACCGUGUAGACUUCGUAAACGAUCAACCCGUAUUCUGUGUAGAAUGAUCCUGUCCAUCACACUUCAAGAAGUUUCCUAAGACACCGGAUCUUUACUGUGGACCCCAAGAGUACUUGUACUGUAGGGAAGUUAGUAAUACGGUAUAUCUCUAUUUUUCCCUGGGUAGGCACAAGGUCCUCUAUUCGUUCAAUUCUUUAGAUUUCUUCAACUUGUAAGAGAAGGUACUCCAUCUCCACUUGACCUUUGGAACACACCUUAGUAAUUCGUUAAACAGCCCGAGACACGCGAGCGAAAGGUAGUUUUAUAAACUACCUCUACCUUCGUAGAGUAGCCUCCUUUACAAUAGAAGCCACCUCAGUGGAGGAGAGAACCAGUGGUCGAAACCGGACUGCCCGUUCGACCUCGCGAAUGGAGCUACCCACCGUAGUGAAUCUUUGCAGAGCUGCAAAUGAGAAGCGUUCUUGCCCGACGCCCGGCUGCGGUAUCUACAGGAACCUCUGAACGGUUCAGACGAGACGGAGUUCGACAUAGUGUUUAGUAUACGGCUACUGACGGAGUAUAAGGGUGCGCCAUUUAAAAACUUUCAGUUCGACAACCAAUAACUGUUGGAUCUCUUGUAACUGUUCCACACGAAGCUCCUACCAAGCCACGGUACAGAACUCUCCGAAUGCAACAGUAAGGACUCCCUCGGGUUCAUACCCUAGAGACCAGAACUAUUAGAAGACUUCGACUCCCUCUAUCUCAAGAAACCAUUGUAGUAUGAUAGGGACCACUGAUUUCACUGUAGCAGGCACUUCUGUGUAGGUUUAGUAGGUUCUCAUUAUCCACUGUUUACCUUAUAACACUGACUCAUAAGAAUCCAUUCGUUUAUUUCACACCAGAUAGAACAAUAGCGUAACUUUCCAACGUACCACCACGAUUUAGUUCUGAGAAAAAUUAAGUGUCCCAUUAUUAAGCCAUCCUCCAUCGGGCGUCGCGUCGUAUAAAAACACGUACAUGUAUAUGAGAAGACUAAAAUUCGCUCAGUAUCACAACGGUCAAAGCAGACGUGUAAUACUAAUGAAACAGUUUAGAAACACAUAAUUUUCUUUUUUUUUGAUCACACUCAAAAACAUAUUACUAAUAGAUAACAUACUGCACCUCACCCGACAUCACGCCACGUGAGAACAAGCAAAGUAGACAUCGAGGACUGGUAUGAAGGAUGUCAAAAUAGAUUGUACCAACACUAAGAUACAAGACUCAAAACUGAUCCUUGGUAAAAAAUCAGUGAGUGUGGUGAUAAAAUCGUUAAAACAGCUAUCGAAUCUAGCUGUCGCUAGUGCGCGGAACUGCAAGU
RNAcentral lists this ribosomal RNA (3390 nucleotides) under Triticum aestivum (bread wheat). RNAcentral describes it as "partial small subunit ribosomal RNA". The record is from RNAcentral. Lineage: Eukaryota; Viridiplantae; Streptophyta; Magnoliopsida; Poales; Poaceae.